Triticum aestivum (bread wheat) is the source of this 2196-nucleotide long non-coding RNA. RefSeq lists it as uncharacterized. The record is from RefSeq and is a predicted model, not a curated record. NCBI's taxonomy places the organism in Eukaryota, Viridiplantae, Streptophyta, Magnoliopsida, Poales, Poaceae. The transcript is spliced from 8 exons.
ACCAUACGAAAAAUAACCAUCAAUGGCUCGCUGCUCCAUCCCUCGCCCCCGCCGCUCGAGCGAGAACCACUCGCAUGCACGACUCGUUCGGCACCGCCGCCGCUCCAUCCCUUCCACCUGUGACCUCGCCGCCAUCUAGUUCCUCUCCGUUCCCAUCUGCCACCUCUGCCGAGAUCCGAGGCCUCCGACUUGUGGGCUGACGCCACUGCCGCGGAACCCCGGGGCAAGGCAGGGUGAUGAUGCGUUGUGGGUAGCGAGGAGGGGCACAUGGGCGUGCCCUGCAUCGAGGAGGAGCUCAGGUACUUUAAAUCGAGGAGGAACACCGCUGUCUUUCUACAUGGUGGCCGCUCCCCUCGAUCCCCUCCAUCGCCUCCGCCGCCGCCGAGGUACGAGAUCGCCUCCAUCUUGUUCCUUCCCUGGCCACGCCCCUCCCAAUUUCUGCCCCUCAUCUAGCUAGGGUUCUCACCCGCCGCCGUGCGGUGAUGGCAUUGUGGCGAAAGAAGGUCUUAUUCCUAGAGAGCCGCUACCAGCCUCCGCCUCCACUUGCGGCCAAAGACAGAUCUCAAUGCUUGCUUGCUAAUGUGCGUGUGUGGAUGUUGCUGGUUGCUGCUGUUGUGCACGUCUACUUGGUGUGCCCCUGCUGUUUUGUGUUCUCACCACCACAUCGACGACAAAUACAAUUUCUUAGUUUUCUUAGAAUGGUUCAGGUUCGAUAUGUUAGGGCUGAAGUACGCUCUUGAGUUAAAGAAAGACCUCGAGAGACUCUGUAGUGUGUAUGCAGGAACUGAAGACAUGUAUUAGAGCCUGCAUUGAGCCUGCAUUGAGAAAUAGUUGACAAAGAAGGAACUGAAAUGAGGUUACUGAGGCUGCAUUUAAGAAUCUUGGUUGAUGAGCUGAUCUCUGACCAAAAACUCAAGAACUAGAAGCAAGCCUGACAUUCUUUUUCUGUAAUUGGUAAAUCUGAACCUGCUCAGACCACGGGGAGGAUUUCUCUGGUGGACUAUCGCUGGCAAGGUUGGCAUGGGAGUAGGCCCGUACCAUGGGUUUGUGUGGCUGGAGGACCGUGGCCAGUGCUGCGAUUGCCUGAUGUCCAUGUGGAGCAUAGCUCGGCAUGAGGUGAUAUCCUUCUAUGAUAACCUAGCUGUACACAAUUUCUUCAAAGAAAAUUAACAUAUAUAUCAAAGUUGAGAUUUGCAAUGUAUUUAAAUUAGUUCUUAAAUUGCUCCAAAGCUACUGAAAUUUCCCUUAUUAUAUUUUUCUGUAGAUACUGAUUGUUCAAAAUUAAACUCACUACUUAAAUUCCAUAGAAACGAGAGGCUCAAGGAAGCAACAAGUAGGAUGAAGGAGUUAACGGGCAGAAGCAUAGAUCACAGAAAAACAAGAAUAUGUUUGCUCCCCAUGCUUUGCACUGAUGUAUAGGUUCGGAAGUUUAAAAGCUUCAUGCACUCCCCAUGCUUUGUAUUGAUGUAUAGAUAACCGGUUCAGAGAAAUGCAAACAAUGGUUGGGGGUUCUAAGAAGGAUGACCCUAAAUGGGAGCAUGACAGACACCAUGGUCCAGGAAAUAAGGGGGAAUCCCAUGGUGUCUACUAUGCUUUUAGAAAUCCUAUGCAGUCAGGGAGAUUCCUUCAGAUUUUUGCAUGAUGAGCAGGUAGCUGUAAAGGGUCGUGGUGUCUACUAUGCUUUUUAGAAAGGAUUUACUAUAUUUGUGCAGCAGGCUACAUGCUUUUCUGAAUGACCAUUUAAGGAGUGAACAUGAACUGGUGAUGUAUGUGUUCCAUGCUCCAUGGGGAGGGAACAAGGAUUGAUUUUCGCCGGGAGUAGGAAGAGUAUGACUUGCCUAACAGAAGCACAAACACAAAUGGACACUCUGCAGUUGUAUCAGACACACCACCACAAGACCUGCUGUGUGCGUCACAAUUCUUAGCAGCGACCGUUACGACCGUGCAAUGCAAGAUUGCUAGCGACAAGGAUUUGAGGAGGACAAGACGGUAGCUAUCGACAAGGAUUCAAGAAGGACCAGAUGCCACUAUGGUGGUUGUAAUAUUAGUCGAGACGAAUCUGAAAAAAUUGAGUAGAGAUGUGGAGAUAUGAUAGAUUUUGCACAAAAAAAACCAGUAAAUUUUUGCUACAGAGAACAUAUCGGUGUGCAUAUAUCGAUUGCACUUGCUUCAUAGCGCAAUACGUUUAUCCUGCUA